UAUGUUGACCCUACAGGAAGUACUAGUGAAGUGCAACCCCAAUGACAAUGGUACACUGACAGACUGUGAACUGGGAAACCCAUUCAAAAGAGAUGCUGAAGUUACUUUCUAUGUAAUAUUGUCCACUUCCCGCAUCUCUCUGAGCACAACUGAUGUAAAUGUUACCUUGCAGCUUGAAACGACAAGUGUGCAGAAGAUACAAGCAAGUGAAGCAAAGGCCAAAGUAGUUUUUGAGCUGCACCUACAAGUAUUUGGGUGGGUGUACGGACAUGGUAUUUGUUCUGCUGUUGCCCUAACCCACCCUUUUAGCUAACAUAAUUGAAGAGCUCCUGUCAUGAAAAUAUAGUUUGUGUUACAAAUGACAACCUAUUCAAUAUUUAGUGCACUAUUUUUGACCAGAGCACUAUGGGACCUUAUCAAAAUUAGUGCAUUACAUAGGGAAUAGAGUGCCAUUUGGGACGCAAACCUGAAUGUGGUGAAGGAAUUAAGGUUUAAGAGAUGUGUUUGUUCUCAGACUGGCCAGGUCCUCCCAGGUCAGCUUUGGAGGAGCUGUAAAGGGAGAGAGCGCCAUGAAAUCAGAGGACGAUAUUGGAACCCUUGUGGAGUGUGAAUUCAGGGUGACCUCAUUGAAUUGUGGCUCAAAAUGCUAUUGUUCCCUGGUGCUUAUCGAAAUUACAUAUGCCUUAGUCCUGAGAGAACACACAGGAUUUAUAGUAUAUCCUUUAGUUUCAAUACACCCAAUUCAAGUAUAUUCUACUACUCAAAAUCAAGCCCAUGAUUACAGCAGUUUCAGUUGUAUCACCUAUAUUAGUACUGGGAUGUAACAAUAACCUUCACACCCUGUGGGUUUCCAAGGAUCAGGAUAUAUAUACAUUGCCUUAGACCUUUCAUGUCAUCAUGUCCACUGGUCAUUUUGAAUGACUUGGAUUUGUUUACAGGGCAAGGCCAGUAGUCAAUAUCAGAGAGGACUUACGAAUCACCCCAAGUACAAUCAAUAUGGCGGCAGAGCACUGUGACAAACACAAAUGGUAAGACUUUCAAGAAACAAAAUAUAAACAAAUAUCAAUAUACUGCCGUAAUGAAACCCAACAUAAUUGUGUUGGGCAUGGCACGGGCAUGCUUUACCUACACAGCACAGCCGCCAUCCUACAACCCCAGACUGAGUAAGUUCCUUACCUUCAGUCUCCACAAUGACCAUUCCCUGGUACUGCUGAGAUUGAGGCUGUCCUAAUAUGGACACCGUACUCUUGAUACUUUAUGUACACUGUGCUUCUGGAACUUAUGCAAUGUGUUCUCUUCCAAAAGCUGUCAACUAUGCCUUCGAGGCUUACGCUGAGACGGGGAAACAGAGGCGUUCCUCCAGGAUGCAGUUUAUUUGUCAAAGGUAGCUCUCCUUUUGAAAGAAGUGCCUAAAGUAUUACACAUACUAUCCAUCUAAUUUGAAAGGAAUUAAGAUAUUCAAAAAAAAAUAGAAAUUCAAAAGUGUUUUAGUACAACCUAGGCAAAAGGGUCAGAAAUACUUGCUGCUGCUAACCUGGUGUUGGGCUGCAAGUAGCAAUUUGUUCUCUUUUCAAGGAACGGGUCCCGACUUCUUGGGACCCAUGUGUAUGGGUGUGGUCUUCCAGUCACAGGGAUGACUGAAAGAUCCACUACUAUGAUGUUUUAAUUACUUGUGUGUAUAUAUACUGAACAAAAAUAUAAAUGCAACAUGUAUUUCCCAUGCUUCAUGAGCUGAAAUAAAAGAAAUCGUAGAAAUUAUACAUUGUCUCAAAUGUUGUUUGUAUCCCUCUUAGUGAGCCUUUCUCCUUUGACAAGAUAAUCCAUCCACCUGACAGGUGUGGCAUAUCACAAAGCUGAUUAAAUGGCAUGAUCAUUAUACAGGUGCACCUUGUAUUGGGGACAAUAAAAGGCCACUCUAAAAUGGGCAGUGUUGUCACACAACACAAUAUUACAGAUGUCAAGUUUUGAGGGA
Molecule: long non-coding RNA, 1972 nt
Organism: Oncorhynchus masou masou (cherry salmon)
Lineage: Eukaryota; Metazoa; Chordata; Actinopteri; Salmoniformes; Salmonidae
Exons: 3
Source: RefSeq, a predicted model, not a curated record